AGGGAUCGGAAGGAGAUAGGAGAAAAGUACAACACCAUCGAGAGUCACCACUAACAGUGUUCCAGUCCCCAAGCCUCGUAAUAUUUGCAGACGGGAAUAUCUUUUUCAAUGCAGCUGGAACAUUUCCAGAGAAUGACGGAAGAACUGGGGUCAUGCCUAACUCCUGCAUCCGAGAUAAUAUCCGUUUCUGCAAUGCUAACUGAAUAUUUAA
RNAcentral lists this unclassified non-coding RNA (211 nucleotides) under Hevea brasiliensis (rubber tree). Lineage: Eukaryota; Viridiplantae; Streptophyta; Magnoliopsida; Malpighiales; Euphorbiaceae. The record is from RNAcentral.